AGAGUUUGAUCCUGGCUCAGGAUGAACGCUAGCGGCAGGCUUAACACAUGCAAGUCGAGGGGUAACAGGAGUAGCUUGCUACUCGCUGACGACCGGCGCACGGGUGCGUAACGCGUAUGUAACUUGCCCCUAACUGGAAGAUAGCCCCGAGAAAUCGGGAUUAAUAUUCCAUAAUACCACGAAUUCGCAUGUUUUUGUGGUUAAAGCUCCGGCGGUUAGGGAUAGGCAUGCGUGACAUUAGCUAGUUGGUAAGGUAAUGGCUUACCAAGGCUACGAUGUCUAGGGGGCCUGAGAGGGUUAUCCCCCACACUGGUACUGAGACACGGACCAGACUCCUACGGGAGGCAGCAGUGAGGAAUAUUGCGCAAUGGACGAAAGUCUGACGCAGCCAUGCCGCGUGCAGGAGGACGGCCCUACGGGUUGUAAACUGCUUUUAUUUAGGAAGAAACCCUUCUACGUGUAGAAGGCUGACGGUACUAAAAGAAUAAGGACCGGCUAACUCCGUGCCAGCAGCCGCGGUAAUACGGAGGGUCCAAGCGUUAUCCGGAUUCAUUGGGUUUAAAGGGUUCGUAGGCGGGGUACUAAGUCAGUGGUGAAAUCCUGCAGCUUAACUGUAGAACUGCCAUUGAUACUGGUACUCUUGAAUCUGGCUGAAGUGGGCGGAAUAUGUCAUGUAGCGGUGAAAUGCUUAGAUAUGACAUAGAACACCAAUUGCGAAGGCAGCUCACUAACCAGUAUUGACGCUAAGGAACGAAAGCGCGGGGGAGCGAACAGGAUUAGAUACCUGGUAGUCACGCUGUAAACGAUGAUCACUCGACAUUGGCGAUAAACUGUCAGUGUCCAAGCGAAAGUGUUAAGUGAUCCACCUGGGGAGUACGGUCGCAAGAUUGAAACUCAAAGGAAUUGACGGGGGCCCGCACAAGCGGUGGAGCAUGUGGUUUAAUUCGAUGAUACGCGAGGAACCUUACCAGGGCUUAAAUGCAAGUUGACAGUUUGGGAAACCAGACUUUCUUCGGACAAUUUGCAAGGUGCUGCAUGGCCGUCGUCAGCUCGUGCCGUGAGGUGUCGGGUUAAGUCCCAUAACGAGCGCAACCCCUAUCCUUAGUUGCUAGCAGGUAAUGCUGAGGGCUCUAAGGAAACUGCCCGCGUAAGCG
This 1154-nucleotide ribosomal RNA is filed under the name uncultured Bacteroidota bacterium. Its description in RNAcentral is "bacterial SSU rRNA". It matches the Rfam family "Bacterial small subunit ribosomal RNA", at positions 8 to 1164 of the family's 1533-position model. The record is from RNAcentral. Lineage: Bacteria; Pseudomonadati; Bacteroidota.